GACGAACGCUGGCGGCGUGCCUAAUACAUGCAAGUAGAACGCUGAAGGAGGAGCUUGCUUCUCCGGAUGAGUUGCGAACGGGUGAGUAACGCGUAGGUAACCUGCCUGGUAGCGGGGGAUAACUAUUGGAAACGAUAGCUAAUACCGCAUAACAGUAGAUAUUGCAUGAUAUCUGCUUGAAAGGUGCAAUUGCAUCACUACCAGAUGGACCUGCGUUGUAUUAGCUAGUUGGUGGGGUAACGGCUCACCAAGGCGACGAUACAUAGCCGACCUGAGAGGGUGAUCGGCCACACUGGGACUGAGACACGGCCCAGACUCCUACGGGAGGCAGCAGUAGGGAAUCUUCGGCAAUGGACGGAAGUCUGACCGAGCAACGCCGCGUGAGUGAAGAAGGUUUUCGGAUCGUAAAGCUCUGUUGUAAGAGAAGAACGAGUGUGAGAGUGGAAAGUUCACAGGUGUGACG
RNAcentral lists this ribosomal RNA (463 nucleotides) under Streptococcus sp. oral taxon 431. RNAcentral's name for it is "bacterial SSU rRNA". It matches the Rfam family "Bacterial small subunit ribosomal RNA", at positions 28 to 474 of the family's 1533-position model. Lineage: Bacteria; Bacillati; Bacillota; Bacilli; Lactobacillales; Streptococcaceae. The record is from RNAcentral.